Lotus japonicus is the source of this 1829-nucleotide long non-coding RNA. RefSeq lists it as uncharacterized. The record is from RefSeq and is a predicted model, not a curated record. The transcript has 3 exons. NCBI's taxonomy places the organism in Eukaryota, Viridiplantae, Streptophyta, Magnoliopsida, Fabales, Fabaceae.
GACUAAAAAAAGGAAGGGUCAAAGGAAGCCGCGCACAAAAAAAGAGAACAUGGCCCAGUUAUCACAAAAAAAAACUAUCAGCUAAAGGCUCAAGAAAGAUAGACCAAUUUAAGUUCAAAAAAAAGAAAAGAAAGAUAGACCAAUUCUGCGUUCCCCUUCUUAAGGGGGAGAAGACCGGGCAAAUCUCCUAAAAAAAAGGCAUCAGCAACAGCACCCACCUUCAACCUUACAAAAUAAUCCUGACUCACAUAAUAUUUUGCCAUUUAAAACUCACCUAGCCUCACAUCCCACUUCACCAGUUUUUUAGUUUUAAGAGUAACAAUUGCAUGGUUGACAUCUCUUCGGAUUACAUACACAUCUGUUCCAUAUUUUGCAGAAUACUCAUAAAGAAAAAUUCAAAAACAAGAUGACGAAUGAUUGGACAACAAGAUUAUCAAGGGGCUUUGCCAUUCUUCAGGUAAGUGAAGAAGUGGAGCGUGCUUUGGCGAAAUCGGGGCAUGUUAAAUUGACUGAAAGGUAAAAGAAUGGCUUGAAAGCUUUGGAAUAUUUGAUCAAAAGGUGAUGGUGCUGAUGAGGAAUCUGAAGAUGGAGUUGCACAUUUACAUCAUGAAGACAGUGUUAAAAACAUGUAUUUAAUUUUGAGCUGCAUUGGCUGCGCCCUGUUGUAGGCAUUCUUCCAAGCACAUAGCUGUUAUUGGGAUAGUUGUAUUGACUCCCUUGCAGCUGGUAAGGUUUGAAGUAAUUCAUUGAAAGCCACCACAUGUCUUGGGAGAGUAAACUAGGCACUAUCUGAAACUCUCACCCAAUCCAUAACUAAGCAUCUAAAAAAUUCAAUGAUACAAUUUAGCAAGCUAGUCAUAUUUUAAAAAUGCAUGUUAAUUAAUCUUAAAGGUUAGUGAUCAUAAAUUGAAACAUGCUUAUAAAUAAUAAGCACCAAAUUGUGGACCCGAAUUCCCUACAGUUAGGGAAUCUUGCAUUCGGUGCAGUUAGAGGUCCAGAACCAACCUUGAUCAAAUCCUUAGAUUUAAAAUAUUAUUACACUCUUAAAAUAAUAUUUUUAAAUUAGAGUUGUAGGAUUUUGAUCGGGCAGAUGUACUUCUAUGACUUCACUGAAUUCAAGAUUCAUUUACUUUAUCAAAUAGUUUACCUGAGAUGAUAUAACUUACAAGAGCCGCCCGAGGAUGGAAGCUCCUAUGGAAGAAAGCCUUGGGCAACUAUUUCUUUCACAUGAUCAUCCAUCCUCAGGCUGUUUUCUUGUUACUUAUGUCGUCCCAGGUAAAUAAUUUGAUAAAGUAAGUGAAUCCUGAAUUCAGUGAAGUCAUAGAACUAUAUUUGCUCGAUCAAAAUCAUACAACUCUAAUUUAAAAAUAUUAGUUUAAGAGUGUAAUAAUAUUUUAAAUCUAAGGAUUUGAUCAAGGUUGGUUCAGGACCUCUGACAGCACCGAAUGCAAGAUUCCCUAACUGUAGGGAAUCCGGGUUCACAAUUUGGUGGUUGUUAUUUAUAAGCACGUUUCAAUUUAUGAUCAUGAAAAAGAGAAGAGCCCCAAUGGAGGAAAAACAAGGCUGCAAAUAGUCUUCUUAGUAUUUGCUUGGAAGCUUUUCAUACCACAUCCUCCCCGACUAUUUCUUCCUGGCAAUAUCAAUCUUUUUCUUUGCUUUGCCUUAUUUAGAAGGAUGCUACCAUUCCACAUCAAAUUUGACCAGGAAGAAAAGGGCUCAGUAUUGGCUCAUUCGGCCUAGAUUAGAACAUUGUUGCUUACUUCUUUGGAAGUCCUCUUGUUGCUCCUGGGUCAACUAUAGUUAACGUAUUGAUUGGAUUUUCAUGUUCC